GUGGGGAAUAUUGGACAAUGGGCGCAAGCCUGAUCCAGCCAUGCCGCGUGAGUGAUGAAGGCCUUAGGGUUGUAAAGCUCUUUUGUCCGGGAAGAUAAUGACUGUACCGGAAGAAUAAGCCCCGGCUAACUUCGUGCCAGCAGCCGCGGUAAUACGAAGGGGGCUAGCGUUGUUCGGAAUCACUGGGCGUAAAGCGCACGUAGGCGGACCAUUAAGUCAGGGGUGAAAGCCUGGAGCUCAACUCCAGAACUGCCUUUGAUACUGAUGGUCUCGAGUAUGGAAGAGGUUGGUGGAACUGCGAGUGUAGAGGUGAAAUUCGUAGAUAUUCGCAAGAACACCGGUGGCGAAGGCGGCCAACUGGUCCAUUACUGACGCUGAGGUGCGAAAGCGUGGGGAGCAAACAGGAUUAGAUACCCGUGUAGUCC
This 425-nucleotide ribosomal RNA is filed under the name uncultured bacterium. RNAcentral describes it as "partial 16S ribosomal RNA". It matches the Rfam family "Bacterial small subunit ribosomal RNA", at positions 354 to 796 of the family's 1533-position model. The record is from RNAcentral.